GAAAAUGUGGUAGCUGCUCUGUCCUCGAGGCUGGAUGCUGCUGGAUGCUCUGAUUGCCCCAGAUGCUCUCAAUCUGGAGCUGAUUACAUGAAGGAUCCCAGGAGAGUCACACGGUCUUCAUUCCAUGGUGGAAGACUGAGGAAGCUGGAUUCCAGGAUCAGCAAAGGAUGGCCCCAGCAACAGAGUGGAUGCUGAUACCAGCAAUGAGUGAAGGUAUGGCAUUUAAAAUGGUUUAUGGGAUUUCAUGACAGACACAACUGCUCCUGGCACACCAAUUACAUCUGAGAGGAAGAUGGGCAUUGAAGAAACUUGCUAUGGAGUUUGCCGUUGACAUGGCAAGAUGAUCCAUUUGGUCAAGAUUCUUGGUAGCAGCAUUUUUCUCAGAAAACGAAAAGCUGUGGAUUCCUUCCAGACUUCUAUGGUUUCAUAGAAGCAAGACC
This is a long non-coding RNA of Mesocricetus auratus (golden hamster), 440 nucleotides long. RefSeq lists it as uncharacterized. The record is from RefSeq and is a predicted model, not a curated record. The transcript has 3 exons. NCBI's taxonomy places the organism in Eukaryota, Metazoa, Chordata, Mammalia, Rodentia, Cricetidae.